Non-coding RNA from Nothobranchius furzeri (turquoise killifish), 1597 nucleotides. Lineage: Eukaryota; Metazoa; Chordata; Actinopteri; Cyprinodontiformes; Nothobranchiidae. The record is from RefSeq and is a predicted model, not a curated record.
GAACAGUUGGCUGUAGACAUCCGUGGUAAACGCACCGCGCUGAGCUCUCCAAAUCACAGAAUGUAGGAGUCUGUACUGACAACAAACAUAUUAUAUGGAUGUGGUAUUUUCUACGAUCUGGACGUAUGCGCUUCCGGUCGCGUGGGGCUGCGUGGCUGCGUGCGCCUCUCUGCAGACCACGUGUUCCGCUUCGGGGUCAAAACAAACUUUAGGCUGGAGAUUGGAGUUGUGGACGUCUUUACCUGCGAAAAGCCUAAACUUCACCAGUACGUGUUUAAAAAGGUCUGGAGAUGACAACUCCAGGGAUUCGUGUUGCCAACCCAGGAGCUCCCCUGAAUCGCCAGCGUGCCGUACUCCUGGCCACCAAGGAGUCUGGCCUUUAUAGGGACAAAAAGCUGUGGUUUCCUGUGUCCCAUCCACAGCUGUUGUACCAGGCCACUGCCCUCGAGUGUGCAGAGAAGCUCCUCAGAGCCGACGGCGUCUCUUCACCAACGCGACAGCAGCGUCUGGGGAAGCUGGUGUUGCCAUUCGGCCAGAAUCAGAAUGCCCCCUUCCACUGGCUCGUUGAAAACGAUGUUGGCUACAUGAAGUGCAUCGUUGACGAGCACAGAUUGGAAACGUCUAACCCGCACAAGAAAGGAGACGCCGUGAACCAGUGGGUGAAAGACUUUCUGACCGAGUACACAGAGAGCUUCCCUCAAGUGUCCAACACGCUGGAGGCCAACGUCGACCGCUGCAUCCACGGUCAGACGGGGUUUGAGCAUCUCACUUUUGAGGAGAUGUGGGACCUCUAUAGCAACUUCUCCAUCCAGAAACGGGAACCGGAGCGUUUCACUCAGGAGCAGAAGGAGACGAUCCAGAGAGCUCACACGUCUGUGACGAGAUGGCUGAACACUCCGGUGACUCGUUCCACAAGUGUGCAGAUGAGGAGGUUCAGGAAGUAUGUCCAUGACAGGAAACAACAGGAAGAAUCAAGCUCCUCCCAGAGAGACUCUCUGUCGUCGCUGGAUAAUGAUGAUGAGGAUGCAGAAAAGGUGGCUGCUUCUGUGGAAGACUCCCUCACCUCAGAGCGCCCAGUAACAGGAGACGCAGAGACCAGGAAGCUGCUGAAGACUUGCUGCUCCUGCUUCUACAGCUGGUGUAGGUCCUCCUGGCCCCUCUGCUCCUGCUGGUCCUCCUGGUCUCGCGUCCGCUGCUGGAUCUUCUGCUGCUGUGUUGGACCCACACAUUGCUGAAUCCAAGCUGCUCUUGCCGUCUGGGAAGAGGCAGCAAAAAAGCAGCACAUUAAAUCCAGACGAGGACACUUUCCAACAGCAGCAAGACGCAGACGUCCCACCCCAGCAUUCUACAUCUUCUGAUGGGGAGCUUGACUGGGUUAAAGUCUGGCAAGAUGAGGGGGGUAUCCCGUGUGCUGACCAGACGUGGCUUAGGGAGGACCAGGAACGAGGCCUCUACACGCCCGCUCGUGUCUACAGGGAUGAAAACGGUUUCCUCAAGAAUCGCCGGGAUAUUAGAUCAGACCCACCGGGCUUCGUUGGAGGAGCUGUCCCUGGACCUCAGCUCUUUUUCCGCAGCAGGGUGUUUGUUUGGAGACCUG